CCUGGGUGGCCUUGGGCAGGUGCCUUGGAGGCCCCGGGGGAAGACAAAGGUCCCCGUCUGUCCCUGGACACAGAGGAAGUCAACCCCUUGCUUGGAAGAAUGGCUGGUCAUCUGAGAACUGCACUUUCACCCCCUGCAAGACCUGCCUGGUGACCCUUGAUGAUGGUGGUGGGUCAUGAGGACUCAGGCAUGCAUGGCAAGGAACUGAGCUGCCUGCCCACAGCUCUGUGAAGACACCAUCUUGGAAGCAGAUCCUCCAGCCUCAGUCAAAUCUUCAGAUGUCCUCAGGCCCAGCUGAUGGCUCAACUACAACCUCAUGAGACACUUGGAGGAAGAAUCAUGAAGGCAUGUAGCUAAUCUGCUCCUGGAUUCCUGCCACAGAGACCUGAGAUAUAACAGUUUUAAGCUGCUAAGUGUUGGGUAAUUUGUUAUAUAGCAACAGGUAACUGAUCCAUCAUAAGACUCCAAUGUUUUUGUUUUCCUCUCCAAAUAAAAUUCUGGUGAUUCU
Molecule: long non-coding RNA, 508 nt
Organism: Talpa occidentalis (Iberian mole)
Lineage: Eukaryota; Metazoa; Chordata; Mammalia; Eulipotyphla; Talpidae
Exons: 3
Source: RefSeq, a predicted model, not a curated record